UCCGUCGGUGGCAAGCGUUGUCCGGAUUUAUUGGGUUUAAAGGGUGCGUAGGCGGCUGUUUAAGUCAGCGGUGAAAGUUUUGGGCUCAACCCAGAAAUUGCCAUUGAUACUGGACAGCUUGAGUAUUGGAGGGGUACAUGGAAUUGAUGGUGUAGCGGUGAAAUGCAUAGAUACCAUCAGGAACACCGAUAGCGAAGGCAUUGUACUGGCCAAUAACUGACUCUGAUGCACGAAAGCAUGGGUAGCGAACAGG
RNAcentral lists this ribosomal RNA (253 nucleotides) under uncultured bacterium. RNAcentral describes it as "partial 16S ribosomal RNA". It matches the Rfam family "Bacterial small subunit ribosomal RNA", at positions 524 to 776 of the family's 1533-position model. The record is from RNAcentral.